UACGUAGGGUGCAAGCGUUGUCCGGAAUUAUUGGGCGUAAAGAGCUCGUAGGCGGUCUGUCGCGUCUGCUGUGAAAACCUGAGGCUCAACCUCAGGCCUGCAGUCGAUACGGGCAGACUAGAGUUCGGUAGGGGAGACUGGAAUUCCUGGUGUAGCGGUGAAAUGCGCAGAUAUCAGGAGGAACACCGGUGGCGAAGGCGGGUCUCUGGGCCGAAACUGACGCUGAGGAGCGAAAGCGUGGGGAGCGAACAGG
Molecule: ribosomal RNA, 253 nt
Filed under: uncultured bacterium
Lineage: Bacteria
Description: partial 16S ribosomal RNA
Rfam family: Bacterial small subunit ribosomal RNA
Source: RNAcentral